UAUAUUUUAUAUAUUUAAUAUGACAGAUUAGUGUGGUGAAUUUAAGAUUCAUUUAUAUAGAUAUUUAUCUAUUAUUAAAA
RNAcentral lists this transfer RNA (80 nucleotides) under Melissodes perlusus. RNAcentral describes it as "tRNA-Leu". The record is from RNAcentral. Lineage: Eukaryota; Metazoa; Arthropoda; Insecta; Hymenoptera; Apidae.